Molecule: ribosomal RNA, 496 nt
Filed under: uncultured bacterium
Lineage: Bacteria
Description: partial 16S ribosomal RNA
Rfam family: Bacterial small subunit ribosomal RNA
Source: RNAcentral
GACGAACGCUGGCGGCGUGCCUAAUACAUGCAAGUUGAGCGCUGAAGGUUGGUACUUGUACCAACUGGAUGAGCAGCGAACGGGUGAGUAACGCGUGGGGAAUCUGCCUUUGAGCGGGGGACAACAUUUGGAAACGAAUGCUAAUACCGCAUAAAAACUUUAAACACAAGUUUCCAGUUUGAAAGAUGCAAUUGCAUCACUCAAAGAUGAUCCCGCGUUGUAUUAGCUAGUUGGUGAGGUAAAGGCUCACCAAGGCGAGGAUACAUAGCCGACCUGAGAGGGUGAUCGGCCACAUUGUGACUGAGACACGGCCCACACUCCUACGGGAGGCAGCAGUAGGGAAUCUUCGGCAAUGGACGAAAGUCUGACCGAGCAACGCCGCGUGAGUGAAGAAGGUUUUCGGAUCGUAAAACUCUGUUGGUAGAGAAGAACGUUGGUGAGAGUGGAAAGCUCAUCAAGUGACGGUAACUACCCAGAAAGGGACGGCUAACUACGU